GCCUCCGUGGCUUGUGGUAGAGCAUUGCCUUGGUAAGGCAAAGGUCGCGGGUUCAAAUCCCGCCGGAGGCU
Molecule: transfer RNA, 71 nt
Filed under: Promethearchaeota archaeon
Lineage: Archaea; Promethearchaeati; Promethearchaeota
Description: Candidatus Lokiarchaeota archaeon (marine sediment metagenome) tRNA-Thr
Rfam family: tRNA
About the family: Transfer RNA (tRNA) molecules are approximately 80 nucleotides in length. Their secondary structure includes four short double-helical elements and three loops (D, anti-codon, and T loops). Further hydrogen bonds mediate the characteristic L-shaped molecular structure. tRNAs have two regions of fundamental functional importance: the anti-codon, which is responsible for specific mRNA codon recognition, and the 3' end, to which the tRNAs corresponding amino acid is attached (by aminoacyl-tRNA synthetases). tRNAs cope with the degeneracy of the genetic code in two manners: having more than one tRNA (with a specific anti-codon) for a particular amino acid; and 'wobble' base-pairing, i.e. permitting non-standard base-pairing at the 3rd anti-codon position.
Source: RNAcentral